GACGAACGCUGGCGGUGUGCUUAACACAUGCAAGUCGAACGGUAAGGCCCUUUCGGGGGUACACGAGUGGCGAACGGGUGAGUAACACGUGAGUAACCUGCCCUCAUCUCUGGGAUAACAGUCGGAAACGGUUGCUAAUACUGGAUAUGAGCUUGCAAGGCAUCUUGUGGGUUGGAAAGAUUUUUUUGGUUGGGGUUGGACUCGCGGCCUAUCGGCUUGUUGGUGAGGUAGUGGCUCACCAAGGCUUCUACGGGUAGCCGGACUGAGAGGGUGACCGGCCACAUUGGCACUUACAGACGGCCCAAACACCGACGGGAGGGAGCUGUGGGGAAUAUUGAACAAUGGACGGCAGGCGGAUGCAGCAACUCCGCGGGCGGGAUGACGGCCUUCUGAUUGUAAACCGCUUUUGAUUGUGACGAAGCUUUUUGUGACGGUAGCAGUAGAAGAAGCACCGGCUAACUACGUG
This 466-nucleotide ribosomal RNA is filed under the name uncultured bacterium. Its description in RNAcentral is "partial 16S ribosomal RNA". It matches the Rfam family "Bacterial small subunit ribosomal RNA", at positions 28 to 507 of the family's 1533-position model. The record is from RNAcentral.